GCGUCUAUAGCUCAAUUGGAUAGAGCGGCGGACUUCGGAUCCGUAGGUUGUGGGUUCGACUCCUACUAGGCGCG
RNAcentral lists this transfer RNA (74 nucleotides) under Hypnocyclicus thermotrophus. It matches the Rfam family "tRNA". Rfam says of the family: Transfer RNA (tRNA) molecules are approximately 80 nucleotides in length. Their secondary structure includes four short double-helical elements and three loops (D, anti-codon, and T loops). Lineage: Bacteria; Fusobacteriati; Fusobacteriota; Fusobacteriia; Fusobacteriales; Fusobacteriaceae. The record is from Rfam by way of RNAcentral.